Molecule: long non-coding RNA, 5723 nt
Organism: Acinonyx jubatus (cheetah)
Lineage: Eukaryota; Metazoa; Chordata; Mammalia; Carnivora; Felidae
Exons: 3
Source: RefSeq, a predicted model, not a curated record
UGACCACAGGGCAGGGGAGAGGUGGUGAGGGUCUGGCAUGGGGCAGGGGGGAUGCAGGGAAGGGUGGACAGGAGAGGCUGGGGACGGGACUGAGGGCCGAGGAGGCGGUCAGUUGGCGGACGGAGGAGCCCCCAAGGACAGGGAGCUUGGGCAGAGGGUUACGUCAGGGGCUGUCACGGGCUCAUUCCCGGGGACAGCAGUGGGCCCCCCGGAGGCCGCCGCAUGUACAGCUAGGUGGAUGGUCUGGGCUAGAGAGGGGAAUUUUAGGAAAUGAGAGAAGAAUCCCGCUUCUGGGCUGUCAGCGCAAGGGUCGCAGCGUGCCCACCAGCAAACAAGCGAAGUUUGCCAAAGUAAUAAAAACAAAGAAAGGCCCAUUUACGGUCUCCGGAAAUCGUCCGAAGGAUAUGCAGCAAAUGAGGAAACAUGUGCUCAAGAAAACUCACUGAAACUUGUCGAGAUCCUCUCCCUUCCUCGCGGCCACCGACCAGCGUGAUGAAGUUCUGCUCUGGGCAGAUGUGGCCGGGGGGGGGGGGGGCGCUCGCUUUCAGCUCCCAGCCACGGGUCAGGGUGUGUCAGCGGGGGCCGCCCACCAGCGCCCUCGCCCUCCCAACUCCAGUGGAGGGUGUCCCCCCCCCCCCGCACGUCCUCCUGUCCCUUCGUCAUAUGGAGGCUGUACCCCCUGUGGUGGGCUGGCCAGCCUGGGCCAUGACCGCUCUUGCCUCAGCUGCUUCAUAAGACAGAGUCCACGCCGGAGAACUGACCGUGAAGACCAGAGGCUACCGUCCCGCCCGGUGCCCAGAGGAGCGGCUCAGAAACGCAGACCCGGGAGAGGCCGUCAGCUGGAAGAGAGCGCACCAAAAUGUCUCCAGAGGAACCGACUUCAUUUGAAACAGAGUGAGGAAGUUCAAGCCCAAGUUGCCCUUCUUGGCCCACAGCAACUCGCUAAGCACUGGGCCAACGAGCACCCUGGCCGGGACCCAAGCAGGAGACACCUCCUCCGAGACCCCCUGGGUCAGAACAGUCCUCCGAGUCCUCAAAACCCAGCCCUGCCUGAGUGUGCUGGGGUUAUUCCCGGGCAAUUCCCGCCCAGCACAGUGGAGCAGCCGGCUGCUGAUGAGCGGAGCCUGGCAGGCGAUGGCACUGGAGGCGAGGCGGGCAGCGGAGCGGAGGGGUCAGGGGAGCCCUGCUAAUCCUCACAAGGGUGACUGCCCAAGCCCGAGGCUGAGCCUCUGGGUGCGACACCAAAGUGGACGUCCCAAGCAACCCGGCCAAGACCACAAACGGACAGACAGACAACAAAACAAUCUGAAAAUCCAUUAAUGUAAUCUGCACCAUCAGUAGAAUAAGGGACAAAAAAACACACGAUCGUCUCUGUGGAUGCGGAAAGAACAGUUGACAAAAUUCAAACCCCUUCGUGAUAAAUGCACUUAACAAACAAGGAACCAAAGGGAAGUCCUUCAACCCGACCAAGGGUAUCUGUGAAAAAUGUGCAGGGCACUGAAAGCUUGGAGACUGACCGCUCUCCCCCUAAGAUCAGGAGUGACAGAACGUCCACUGUGCACUGGAGGGUCCCUGGGGGGUUAGGUGAGGAAAGGAAACACAAGGCAUCCGUGUUAGAAAGGAAGAGGUAAGACUGUCUCUGUCUGCGGAUGACGUGGUCUUGUGUAUGUGAAACCCAAGGGAUCCCCUCAACCCUGGUGGAGCUAAUAAAUAGUUCAGCAAGUUGCCAGUUACAAAAUCAGCAUGCAAAAUAAAUCGUUUUUCUGUUUAGUCACAAUGAGCCAACUAAAAUAAGGACAACAGUCCAUCUACAAGAGCAUCAAAACGAAUAAGUAAGGAAUCGGGAAUAAGUUUAACCACAGACGUGCACACUUACACUCUGAAAACUAUAAAACAUUGUUGAAAGGAAUUGAAUCUAAAUAAGUCUAAAGAUAGAUCUAAAUAAUAAUCCAAAUUAUCUAAGUAAAUAUGCACACAACCUAAAUUGGAUCUUAAAUAAAUGGAAAGACAGUCAUGUGUAUGGGCCCGGAGAUUUAAUACUGUUAAAUGUGGUAAUACUUCCCACAGUGAUCUACAGAUCCAACGUGAUGGAAAUCUAAGCUGACCUCUUUGUGUGCAUAGAAAAAUGCAUCCCAAACUUUGUAUGGUCACAUAAGGGGCCCUAAAUAGCUAAAACAAUCUUGAAAAAGAAGAACAAAGUUGGAUGACUCGCACUUCCUGGUCUCAGCACUUACUAUGGAAGCUGCAAAGGUGAAGACCGUCUGGUGCUGACACAGGACGUACGGCUGGUCAGGGGGAGAGAGUGAAGAGACCCAGGACCAAAACCUCACGUUUGAGCUCCACAUUCAAAGGAAUAAGUUCGGAUCCCAACCUCACACCAAAUACAAAAAGUGAGUCAAAAUGAAUCGGGGACCCAAUUGUAAGAGCCAAAACUAUAAAACUUUUGUUUUAUCUAAAAAUUUUAUUUGGAAGUUAUCUCUACACCCAAAGUGGGGCUCGAACUCGUGACCCUGAGAUCAAGAGUCACAUGCUCCCCCUAUUGAGCCAGCUGGGUGUCCCCAAACUAUAAAACUUUUAGAAGGAAACAUAGGUAUAAAUCUUUGUGCCCUUGGAUUAGGUGAAUGGUUUCUUAAACAUGACAUCAAAAGCAUAACAGCAAAGGAAAAAAUAGGUAAGUUAGAUUUCAUCAAGAGUAAAAACUUUUGUGCAUCAAAGGAACUAUCAAGAAAAAUGAAAAAAUAGCCCAGAGAAAGAGAAAAAAUAUUUGCCAAUCAUAAACCUGAUAACAAUUUGUAUCUAGGAUAUAUAAAUUAUAGAACGUGCAAUUACAACUCAGUAAUAAAAAGGUAAAUGAAUUUAAAAAUGAGCACAGGAUCUGAACAGACAUUUCUCCAUCGAAGAAGAUAUGUAAAUGGCCAACAAGUGCAGGAAAAGACACUCGACGUCAUUAGCCAUCAGGGACACGCACAUCAAAAGCACAAAGAAGUGAGCGCCUGGGUGGCUCAGUCAGCUAAGCAUCAGACUUUGGCUCAGGUCAUGAUCUUGUGGUCUGUGGGUUCGAGCCCCACAUCGGGCUCUGUGCUGGCGGUUCAGAGCCUGGAGCCUGCUUCGGAUUCUGUGUCUCCGUCUCGCUCUGCCCCUCCCCUGCUCAUGCUCUGUUUCUGUCUGUCCCCAAAAUAAACAUAAAAAAAAAUUAAAAAAAAUAAAUAAAAUCUUAAAAAAAAAAGCACAAAGAGGUACCAUUUCAUACCCACCAGGAUGACUGCCAUCUGAAGGACAGGUGAUAAAAAGUGCUGGCCAAGGCUGUGAAGCCAUCGGAAGCCUCCCCCCUUGCUGGUCAGAAUGGCAUGUGGGGAACCCACUUUGGAAAAAAGUCUAGCAGUUCCGCUGGUUAAACGUAGGCCAAUCGGAUGACAUGGUAAUUCCACUGCUAGGUAUUUACGGAGACAAAUGACAACAUGUCCUCACACAAAAUCUUGCACAUUAACGUUUGUAGCGGUGUGAUUCACCCUAGCCAAAAAAGCCGAAAAAUCAGAUGUCUGCCAGGUGUAAGAAACGUGAUGUAUCCAAACAAUAGAAUAUUAUUCAGCCAUGAAAAGGGUUGGAGCACUGACCCACAGGACAGCCUGGUGAACCUUGCAAACGUGAGUGACAGAUGUCGGUCACAAAGGGCCAUGCGGUGUGUGGCUCAAUGGACAGGAUAUUGCUAGAACGGACAGAUCUGUGGAUAUGGGGCGUGAAUUUGUGGUUGCCCGGGGCUGGGGGCAGGUGGAGGGCUGGGGUGAGGGCGAAGGGAGCAGGAUUUCUUUCUUUUUCUUGGGGUGAUAAAAAUAUCCACCUCCGAUCGGUUGUGGAGACGGGUGCACAGCUCAGUGGAUGCACUAGGAUCGUGCACUUCAGAUGGGCGAGUUGUACGGGACGUGAAUUAUAUCACAAUAAAGCAGUUAAAUAGCAUGACAGACUAAAACCGUUAACCACAGUAAGAGCUCCUGCAUCCACCCCACUGGGAGGCGGGGGCAGGAGGGCACGAAUCUGAAGACAUUCAGCUUUUGGGUCCCAAAGAUGAAGGCCAUGUCCAUGCCACAUGGUCUUUCUGGGGCCCGAGCCAACUUAUCAUUUUUAUGGAGUUGCUUUUCCACUUGUGGCCAUAUUUGUAAUUAGUUUGGAAACCAUUAAAUGUCUUAUGACUCUUGUUUCUUUUAAGUCAAAAUUCUCUGCUAAUUACUAACCAUAAUUUUAAAGACAGAAGGGCACAAGCUGAGACUUGGUGCACAUCUCUCUGACUCGUGCACAUGUGUAGGGACUUUUCAUUAGCCUGGCGAUGAGGUUAUGCAUAUGCAUGAACUGAAUGUUCUCUUUUUUCUUGGCAGGGAUGCUGACCUCCUACCCCAGAGCCUAAGACAAAAUCAGACCCACACCACGCCACGCAGGGCUGUUUGGAGAAGGAUCCAGGUGUCUGCAUUUCCACUGCUGUAGAGGCGUCUGGGCUUCAGGCGAUCUACGCCCACUGGCCUCUCAGCCAGGGAACAUCUCCUUUGAGGGUGCUAUGACUGGAUGGAUGGGUUCAGUCCAGCCCAUGAACCAGGGCAACUGGUGCCAGAUGGGGCCAAGGGAUGUCAUGAAGAAUUGGCCGAGUGACUCUUCCGGGACUGAGUGAGGAGAGAUGUGACCCUCAGGUGUCUGACCACAGUGAUGCCUCUGGGAUUGGAGGUGGCCAAGAAUGUGGGGAAACUGAAUUUUCCUGUCUUUGGACAACUCAGAGACGGCAGAGGAGCUCCAGCCCGCACCUGCUAGGUAGCUGUAGCUGAAGCCUCAAUGCUGAGUAUCCUCCUGUCAGGUCUGGUCUCCUGGUGAGAAGGUGCUCCUGUCUCAGUUGUCAGGAAAGUGGUGACUGAGCCCUGAUCUCCACAGGGAUGCUCAAAACGAUUCCACUUAGGGGCAUACACUGACGUGUUCUGAGGACAGGACCGCUGACACAGGAGCCGGGUCAGCUGUUCGCUAGGGUGGAAGCGGGGAGAUCCUGGGGCUCCCGGGCUCUGAUUUAGUCGGCAGAAAGGCAGGACGCACGGAGCCCCUCCUCUUCUCAGGCGUCAGCGCCUCAUCUGUUCUGGCCGCUGGCUGCCCCCGUUGCCCACUGAGCUUCAGAGUAUCUUCUGUCCAGUGGGGAGGACGGUCCACCCGUGUGCCCACAGGCCCAGCAGGCCACCGAGUCAUGACCCCCCUGACUCGUGUGAGCCCGAGUUCAGACUGUGAGUGGCAUCUUUAUACUUCCAUGCUGAGACCUGCACCUCCGGGAAGCCUUCCCAGGUUAGCGUCCUCUUGGGGCUCUGCUGGCCCCUGUCCUGUGUGUGCGGAGGGAGAGGCAGACACGUAUAGCAGCAAUCCCCGGACGGGAAGCAUGCCUGGUUGGGGCUGGCGGGUGAACGGGUGCGACCGGGUGUGGCAGUGCCCAGGACUGCCAAGGGAGGCUCCUAGGAGGCGGCGUGUGAGGGGAGCACUGGGAAGGAGGAGGCAGAGGAGCAGGAGCAGGGCACCAGGCGAGGGGUCUGCGAGGAGGGUGGGGGAGGCAACAGAUGGGCGACCUGACGACGGGCAACCCACCUGCAGGCAGGUCCCCCCGCACCCCCCUGCCAAAGGCGACCCGGACAGGGGGGCUGGGGGCUGAGCUGGUGGCGUGGGGGGGAGCGGCGGAGGCGCGGCUUGCCCGGCUGUGGGGGCCCCGG